GAUGAAGAACGCAGCGAAAUGCGAUAAGUAAUGUGAAUUGCAGAAUUCAGUGAAUCAUCGAAUCUUUGAACGCACAUUGCCCCCGCCAGUAUUCUGGCGGGCAUGCCUGUCUGAGCGUCAUUUCAACCCUCAUGCCCCUAGGGCGUGGUGUUGGGGAUCGGCCAAAGCCCGCGAGGGACGGCCGGCCCCUAAAUCUAGUGGCGGACCCGUCGUGGCCUCCUCUGCGAAGUAGUGAUAUUCCGCAUCGGAGAGCGAUGAGCCCCUGCCGUUAACCCCCCAACUUUCCAAGGUUGACCUCAGAUCAGGUAGGAAUACCCGCUGAACUUAAGCAUAUCAAUAAGCGGAGGA
RNAcentral lists this unclassified non-coding RNA (348 nucleotides) under soil metagenome. Its description in RNAcentral is "partial contains 5.8S ribosomal RNA, internal transcribed spacer 2, and large subunit ribosomal RNA". The stretch from base 1 to 120 matches the Rfam family "5.8S ribosomal RNA", at positions 35 to 154 of the family's 154-position model. The record is from RNAcentral.